RNAcentral lists this long non-coding RNA (721 nucleotides) under Felis catus (domestic cat). Its description in RNAcentral is "lncRNA (ENSFCAG00000052834.1)". The record is from RNAcentral. Lineage: Eukaryota; Metazoa; Chordata; Mammalia; Carnivora; Felidae.
UUUAAGAUUUUAACUUCUCUCUAUAAACGCCUCAGCAACACAUAAAAUCAUACCUCAUAACAAUAAAAAAGAACUUCCUUAAUAAUUCAAGAAAGCUUAAUGUUCAUCUGGUACCAGAGUUUGAUUUUGAACACAUUUUUUUUAAUUAGUUAAAAAUUAUUUAACAUCCUGUUUAAAGAAAUAAAACUAAAGUGUUCUCUUUUUACAGUGCUGAGUUCUAUUCUAAAUGUCGUGGAAAGACAAGAUACUUGUGCUCGAGAGAUGUUAACCAGAUUAUCAGACCCUCGAAGCUUUCACUGUUCCAUUUGAAACACUUUUCCUUCUUUGGCAUUCUUCAGCAUCAACACCAACACCUCCAAUCAUUAUCUGCGUGUAUAUAGGACAAAGCUUUAAAUGAGGUACAAUCUGCUUUCUCAAUUUUGCACUGAGGAAAAUGGCAACCUCUGCCUCAAUUACAGGUAAAGUUAGUUUUGCAAUCUUUCGUGUAUAUUAAAUAGAUUUCAAACUAACAUCUGCAAAUUUUCAAAUUUCUCAGUGCUGAUUUCUCUCAUGAAGAAAGCACACUGCACUGUUCUCAGAAGUAUUUUUCUGCCUCUAAGUUAAUUAAAAGGUUUGGUUGAGGACAAUCCUUGCAAUGACCGUGAUGUUUGGAGAGACUUUAUGAAAUUCAUUGGUGGCAUAGAGGUGGACACCCACUGAACAAAGGGUCCAGUUUAAUUUA